AGUGCAUUAGAGAACCGAGAAGCCGGCAAUUUGGACUGUAUUGGCAUCCACAAAAUACCGGUCAACCGCCCCUCCUAUAAUUCUCUAGAGCUUGGGAUAGUUACAUAGAAAAAAAAACCAGGCCUCAUCGAUAAGAGACAGACAAGAACAACAGCAACAGACCAUGACAAAGCUUCAAGCAAACUCUUUGUUCCUUUUUCAUGGCCAAGAUCGUUCGUGAAAAGAUGACACAGCUUUGUCGGAAGAUUAAUGUUCAUGUAAAUAUCAAGUGGAGUAUACUCGAACGUGUAUCGGUUUUUAGACAGUUUUUUCAGUUCAUUUGGGAUAGGAUUCUCGCUUGCUCUAUAGGGAAGCCUGUUAGGUAUCGCCGGCUCACUCGCCGGCCUUCUUCUCCAACGCCGGAGUUAAUUGAAGACGGUGGGUUGGAGUCAUCGGAGGAACCCACCACCACGUUUUGUGGGUAUAGCACGGAUUCGGAUUUAGUCACUUUGAAGAUCAGUUUGUUGGGUGAUUGCCAAAUUGGAAAAACAAGCUUUGUGAUCAAGUAUGUGGGAGAUGAGCAGGAAAAGAAAUGCUUGCAGAUGACAGGAUUGAAUUUAAUGGAUAAAACAUUACUGGUUCAAGGUGCCAGGAUUACAUUUAGCAUAUGGGAUGUAGGGGGUGACAGUAACUCACUUGAUCAUGUUCCUAUUGCCUGUAAAGAUGCAGUAGCAAUUUUGUUCAUGUUUGAUCUUACUAGUCGGUGUACUCUUAACAGUGUUACUGAAUGGUAUAGUCAAGCCAGAAAAUGGAAUCAGACGGCGAUUCCCAUAUUAAUAGGAACCAAGUUUGACGAUUUCGUCCGGCUUCCCCACAAUUUGCAGUGGCCAAUAGUGACUCAGGCAAGGGCAUAUGCCAAG
This 899-nucleotide unclassified non-coding RNA is filed under the name Hevea brasiliensis (rubber tree). Lineage: Eukaryota; Viridiplantae; Streptophyta; Magnoliopsida; Malpighiales; Euphorbiaceae. The record is from RNAcentral.